Planococcus citri (citrus mealybug) is the source of this 280-nucleotide long non-coding RNA. RefSeq lists it as uncharacterized. The record is from RefSeq and is a predicted model, not a curated record. The transcript has 2 exons. NCBI's taxonomy places the organism in Eukaryota, Metazoa, Arthropoda, Insecta, Hemiptera, Pseudococcidae.
AAUUGCAUAAAUAAAAUUCCAAUGUUUGUAAACAAGAUCUGAUUGGUUGCAGGAGUGUUCCACCUACAGACAGAAAUCAUCAUCUGUGAUCCAGUGACCAUGAACAGAGAAACCAGGCAUUGCAGAAUCUUACCAGGAUUAUUGGUAAACAGACCAAAUCAUGUGCAUACCACAGACGAUGUAAACGUCAACUUCGUUGCAGAUGAACUUGGGGAUUGCCUCGUGUGUCUCUUCGUUUCCUACCACGAUUACAUCAGUGGCUUCAUCAUUUAUUUUGAGA